AAUCGAACCCGGAGAUAGCUGGUUCUCCUCGAAAUAGCUUUAGGGCUAGCCUCAUGGAUCAUUGGUGGGGGUAGAGCACUGAAUGUGCGCGGGGGCCACAAAGCCUACCAAACGCUAUCAAACUUCGAAUACCAUACAAUGCAGACCAUGGGAGUCAGUCCGCGAGAGAUAAGUUCCGCGGGCAAAAGGGGAACACCCCAGAUCAACCGCUAAGGUCCCCAAGUUCACGUUAAGUGGAGAAGGAUGUGGAAUUGCACAGACAACCAGGAUGUUGGCUCAGAAGCAGCCACACAUUUAAAGAGUGCGUAAUAGCUCACUGGUCGAGUGAUUGUGCGCCGAAGAUGUCCGGGGCUAAACGUGACACCGAAGCGAUGGGUGCAUCUGAAAGGAUGCGCGGUAGAGGAGCAAUGUGCAGAGGCAGAAGCCGUAUCGAGAGGCACGGUGGACACUGCACAAGAGAGAAUGCCGGUAUGAGUAGCGAGAGGCAUGCGAGAAACAUGCCCGUCGAAAGCCCAAGGUUUCCUGGGGAAGGUUCAUCCGCCCAGGGUAAGUCGGGGCCUAAGCCGAGGACGGAAGUCGUAGGCGAUGGACAGCAGGUGUAGAUUCCUGCACUACCGAUGGAAUGAAGCAGUGACACAGAAGGAUAACUCGAGCAGGGUGAUGGUCAACCCUGUGCAAGCAUCAAGGUUGGGUUGUAGUGAAGUACGCAACCCUAUAAGCUGAGGUGUGAUGCGGACCGAAAUUUCAGUAGGGAAGCGAGUGAGUUCACGCUGGCGAGAAAAGCUGCUAGUACAUCCAAAGGUACCCGUACCGGAAACCGACGCAGGUGGGCGAGGAGAGAAUCCUGAGACGAACGGGAGAACCCUUGUUAAGGAACUCGGCAAAAUGACCCCGUAACUUCGGGAUAAGGGGUGCCUGCGAGAGCAGGCCGCAGAGAAUAGUCACAAGCGACUGUUUAGCAAAAACACAGGUAUCUGCGAAAGCGAGAGCUGACGUAUAGGUGCUGACACCUGCCCGGUGCUGGAAGGUUAAGGGAACAUGUUAGAGCAAUCGAAGCAUCGAACCGAAGCCCCAGUAAACGGCGGCCGUAACUAUAACGGUCCUAAGGUAGCGAAAUUCCUUGUCGGGUAAGUUCCGACCCGCACGAAUGGUGUAACGA
This 1159-nucleotide ribosomal RNA is filed under the name human gut metagenome. RNAcentral's name for it is "bacterial LSU rRNA". It matches the Rfam family "Bacterial large subunit ribosomal RNA", at positions 831 to 2007 of the family's 2925-position model. The record is from RNAcentral.